Molecule: ribosomal RNA, 444 nt
Filed under: uncultured bacterium
Lineage: Bacteria
Description: bacterial SSU rRNA
Rfam family: Bacterial small subunit ribosomal RNA
Source: RNAcentral
GUAGGGAAUAUUGGACAAUGGGCGCAAGCCUGAUCCAGCCAUGCCGCGUGCAGGAAGAAGGCCUUCUGGGUCGUAAACUGCUUUUCUCUGGGGAUAAAAAGACCCUGCGGGGUAAAUUGAAGGUACCAGAGGAAUAAGCCACGGCUAACUACGUGCCAGCAGCCGCGGUAAUACGUAGGUGGCAAGCGUUGUCCGGAUUUAUUGGGUUUAAAGGGUGCGUAGGCGGUUCCAUAAGUCAGUGGUGAAAUACGGCAGCUCAACUGUCGAGGUGCCAUUGAUACUGCGGAACUUGAGUACUGAUGAGGUAGGCGGAAUUGACGGUGUAGCGGUGAAAUGCUUAGAUAUCGUCAAGAACACCGAUAGCGAAGGCAGCUUACCAAGCAGUAACUGACGCUGAGGCACGAAAGUGCGGGGAUCAAACAGGAUUAGAUACCCCGGUAGUCC